UACAGAGGUGGCAAGCGUUGUUCGGAAUUACUGGGCGUAAAGGGCGCGUAGGCGGCCCUCUAAGUCAGACGUGAAAUCCCCCGGCUUAACCUGGGAACUGCGUCUGAUACUGGACGGCUUGAGUAUGGGAGAGGGAUGUAGAAUUCCAGGUGUAGCGGUGAAAUGCGUAGAUAUCUGGAGGAAUACCGGUGGCGAAGGCGGCAUCCUGGACCAUUACUGACGCUGAGGCGCGAAAGCUAGGGGAGCAAACGGG
This 253-nucleotide ribosomal RNA is filed under the name uncultured bacterium. Its description in RNAcentral is "partial 16S ribosomal RNA". It matches the Rfam family "Bacterial small subunit ribosomal RNA", at positions 524 to 776 of the family's 1533-position model. The record is from RNAcentral.